GAUGAACGCUGGCGGCGUGCUUAACACAUGCAAGUCGAACGGAAAGGCCCAAGCUUGCUUGGGUACUCGAGUGGCGAACGGGUGAGUAACACGUGGGUGAUCUGCCCUGCACUUCGGGAUAAGCCUGGGAAACUGGGUCUAAUACCGGAUAGGACCACAUUUUGGAUGGUGUGGUGGAAAGUUUUUCGUUGUGGGAUGAGCUCGCGGCCUAUCAGCUUGUUGGUGGGGUAAUGGCCUACCAAGGCGUCGACGGGUAGCCGGCCUGAGAGGGUGUACGGCCACAUUGGGACUGAGAUACGGCCCAGACUCCUACGGGAGGCAGCAGUGGGGAAUAUUGCACAAUGGGCGCAAGCCUGAUGCAGCGACGCCGCGUGGGGGAUGACGGCCUUCGGGUUGUAAACUCCUUUCGCUAGGGACGAAGCGCAAGUGACGGUACCUGGAGAAGAAGCACCGGCUAACUACGUG
Molecule: ribosomal RNA, 465 nt
Filed under: uncultured bacterium
Lineage: Bacteria
Description: partial 16S ribosomal RNA
Rfam family: Bacterial small subunit ribosomal RNA
Source: RNAcentral